This 497-nucleotide ribosomal RNA is filed under the name uncultured bacterium. RNAcentral describes it as "partial 16S ribosomal RNA". It matches the Rfam family "Bacterial small subunit ribosomal RNA", at positions 28 to 507 of the family's 1533-position model. The record is from RNAcentral.
GAUGAACGCUGGCGGCGUGCCUAAUACAUGCAAGUCGAGCGAACAGACGAGGAGCUUGCUCCUCUGACGUUAGCGGCGGACGGGUGAGUAACACGUGGAUAACCUACCUAUAAGACUGGGAUAACUUCGGGAAACCGGAGCUAAUACCGGAUAACAUGUUGAACCGCAUGGUUCAACAGUGAAAGACGGUGUUGCUGUCACUUAUAGAUGGAUCCGCGUCGCAUUAGCUAGUUGGUAAGGUAACGGCUUACCAAGGCAACGAUGCGUAGCCGACCUGAGAGGGUGAUCGGCCACACUGGAACUGAGCCACGGACCAGACUCCUACGGGAGGCAGCAGUAGGGAAUCUUCCGCAGUGGGCGAAAGCAUGACGGAGCAACGCCGCGUGAGUGAAGAAGGUCUUCGGAUCGUAAAACUCUGUUAUUAGGGAAGAACAAAUGUGUAAGUAACUAUGCACGUCUUGACGGUACCUAAUCAGAAAGCAACGGCUAACUACGUG